CUACGGGCUGCUCCAGUGGGGAAUAUUGGACAAUGGGGGAAACCCUGAUCCAGCAAUGCCGCGUGUGUGAAGAAGGCCUGCGGGUUGUAAAGCACUUUCGGUUGGGAGGACUGCUUCUAGCACUAAUAUUGUUGGAAGUUGACGUUACCUUCAGAAGAAGCACCGGCUAACUCCGUGCCAGGAGCCGCGGUAAUACGGGAGGGUGCAAGCGUGAAUCGGAAUUACUGGGCGUAAAGCGCGCGUAGGCGGCUAGAUCAGUCGGGUGUGAAAGCCCCGGGCUUAACCUGGGAACUGCAUCCGAUACUGUCUAGCUUGAGUACAGGAGAGGAGAGUGGAAUUCCACAUGUAGCGGUGAAAUGCGUAGAUAUGUGGAGGAACACCAAUGGCGAAGGCAGCUCUCUGGCCUGAUACUGACGCUGAGGUGCGAAAGCGUGGGGAGCAAACAGGAUUAGAUACCCGAGUAGUC
Molecule: ribosomal RNA, 466 nt
Filed under: uncultured bacterium
Lineage: Bacteria
Description: partial 16S ribosomal RNA
Rfam family: Bacterial small subunit ribosomal RNA
Source: RNAcentral